AGCCAUGUGGUGAGCACAGAGCGAACUAUUCUUUCGCCUUUUACUAAAGAAUACCGUGUGCUCGCCAUGACCAGUGGCAUACGCCAAUUUUUGGAGGAGCUUCGUCAACUGAGGAAGCU
Molecule: small nuclear RNA, 119 nt
Filed under: Eucalyptus grandis
Lineage: Eukaryota; Viridiplantae; Streptophyta; Magnoliopsida; Myrtales; Myrtaceae
Description: U5 spliceosomal RNA
Rfam family: U5 spliceosomal RNA
About the family: U5 RNA is a component of both types of known spliceosome. The precise function of this molecule is unknown, though it is known that the 5' loop is required for splice site selection and p220 binding, and that both the 3' stem-loop and the Sm site are important for Sm protein binding and cap methylation.
Source: Rfam by way of RNAcentral